Molecule: ribosomal RNA, 463 nt
Filed under: uncultured bacterium
Lineage: Bacteria
Description: partial 16S ribosomal RNA
Rfam family: Bacterial small subunit ribosomal RNA
Source: RNAcentral
GACGAACGCUGGCGGCGUGCUUAACACAUGCAAGUCGAACGGAAAGGCCCUUCGUGGUACACGUGCGGCGAACGGGAGCGUAACGCUUGAGUAACCUUCCCCUCACCCUGGGUUAACAGUUGGAACCGGCUGCUAAUACUGGUACCUCAGCUCCUCUCGUACGGCGGGGGUUGGAUUGUAUUGGUGGUGGGGGAUGGGCUCGCGUCCUAUCAGCUUGUUGGUGGGGUGAUGGCCUACCAAGGCGUCGACGGGUAGCCGGCCUGAGAGGGCGACCGGCCACAUUGGGACUGAGAUACGGCCCAGACUCCUACGGGAGGCAGCAGUGGGGAAUAUUGCACAAUGGGCGGAAGCCUGAUGCAGCAACGCCGCGUGCGGGAUGACGGCCUUCGGGUUGUAAACCGCUUUCAGCAGGGACGAAGCGCAAGUGACGGUACCUGCAGAAGAAGCACCGGCUAACUACGUG